AUAAGGUUACAUCUAACGAACUCCUAUGUUGUGAUGAAGUCCUUAGGACUACUUUGAUCGAUAAAGGAGGAUUUAUCACAUAGUCCUUAAAUUGAUUCACGAUCAAAUGAUAUACUAUUACUAAAAUGAUAGCGAUAUCAAAUGUAGGUCGAUGUGUGCCAUAUGUGUUGGUUAUCCUCGUAACCAAAUGGUGUGGAAAUACUGGUAUGACAUACAAAUG
This 220-nucleotide long non-coding RNA is filed under the name Elaeis guineensis (African oil palm). RNAcentral describes it as "long non-coding RNA (EGUI_LNC081534)". Lineage: Eukaryota; Viridiplantae; Streptophyta; Magnoliopsida; Arecales; Arecaceae. The record is from RNAcentral.